This 253-nucleotide ribosomal RNA is filed under the name uncultured bacterium. Its description in RNAcentral is "partial 16S ribosomal RNA". It matches the Rfam family "Bacterial small subunit ribosomal RNA", at positions 524 to 776 of the family's 1533-position model. The record is from RNAcentral.
UACGGAGGUCUCAAGCGUUGUUCGGAUUCAUUGGGCGUAAAGGGUGCGUAGGCGGCGCGGUAAGUCGGGUGUGAAAUCUCGGGGCUUAACUCCGAAACUGCAUUCGAUACUGCCGUGCUUGAGGACUGGAGAGGAGACUGGAAUUUACGGUGUAGCGGUGAAAUGCGUAGAUAUCGUAAGGAAGACCAGUGGCGAAGGCGGGUCUCUGGACAGUUCCUGACGCUGAGGCACGAAGGUCAGGGGAGCAAACGGG